GAAAUGCGAUACGUAAUGUGAAUUGCAGAAUUCAGUGAAUCAUCGAAUCUUUGAACGCACCUUGCGCCCUUUGGUAUUCCGAAGGGCACACCCGUUUGAGUGUCGUGACAUUCUCAAAACCUUCUUGGUUUCUUCGACCGAGAAGGUUUUGGACUCUGGAGGUUCUUGCUGGCUUUCCUUUGUUGAAGCCAGCUCCUCUGAAAUGAAUUAGUGGGGUGUGCUUUGCUGAUCCUCGACGUGAUAAGAUAUUUCUACGUCUUGGGUCUUGCACUGUUUCCUGCUUCUAACCGUCUUGUAGAAGACAAUUGGCCGAGUGAUUGCCACUCGGCCCACAAACCUUGACCUCAAAUCGGGUGAGACUACCCGCUGAACUUAA
This 376-nucleotide unclassified non-coding RNA is filed under the name uncultured Russula. RNAcentral describes it as "sequence contains ITS1". The stretch from base 1 to 105 matches the Rfam family "5.8S ribosomal RNA", at positions 50 to 154 of the family's 154-position model. Lineage: Eukaryota; Fungi; Basidiomycota; Agaricomycetes; Russulales; Russulaceae. The record is from RNAcentral.